CUGAAUAACCUUACUAACAUUUGAUCCAUAUUAAAUCCAUAUUCAGCCUGAAACCUUUUUUUUAAUAUUAAUAUACUUUUGGUAGUUUACAGCUUGGCUUGCUGUUUGCGAGCAGACCCACAUUAUCCUCAUUUUGAAAUCAUUGCUGACUUGCAUCUGUGUGAAAUACAUUUGUCUUGUCAAGUAGCUGUGCAUAUCUUAAGUGAAUUAUUGAUAUUACAGUUGCAGGACUGUUUGGCUGGAAAAGGAUCCAAUAAUAAGUUCAGGUGAAUGAGACUCCAUGUGGAAAAUCUGCUCCAGGUUUCUUUUGCAGGGCUGAAGGUGGUGAUUGUUUCCGUAGUUCCAAGGCCACACAAGCAAAAGGUGCAGCAGAACUGUCUAUUCAAAUUCUUCAAAUUCUUUAUUUUCAGGGCUGGAGGAGCAAGAGCAGCAGGAGAAGCCUCUUCCAGGGGCAUGAGGCCACACGAGGGGUGGAUGAAAUGCAGGGUGGCAUGCAUUCUGUUUGUACAGGUUUGGAGAGCUAAGACAUGGGAGAAGAUUGAUGCCACUUGGGAAAGGAUGGAGGAAUUGAAGAACUGGAAAAAGAAAUGGAAGAAUUGAAGAUGACAGCACUAGGGUUGGAGAAGCUUGUGGCUGGAUGGUUUUGGUUUCUUUUUCCACAGGUAUGAUGAGGAAUACAGACGGGGAAGGACUGGAGAUCCAGCAGUGGCCGUGCAAGAAAGAGCCCCCAGUGGAAGGAGAGCUUUGGAAGAAAACUGAGGCAGCAGUGAGGCUUUGCAGUUGAAGCAAUUUACAGAAAAUGGAAAACAACUUGAGAUUUGUCUGGCAGUGGUAACGGGACAGAAGCUAAAUUUUGCUGAACUGGCAUUGGCUGUAAGAGCAGGCAAGGCAGUUUCCAUUGAGAGAUGAGAACACCAGGGUUGGAGAGGGUUGCAGAUGCAUGGCUUUAGAUUCUAUAUGC
This 961-nucleotide unclassified non-coding RNA is filed under the name Penaeus japonicus. Its description in RNAcentral is "uncharacterized LOC122262684, transcript variant X2". Lineage: Eukaryota; Metazoa; Arthropoda; Malacostraca; Decapoda; Penaeidae. The record is from RNAcentral.